GGAAGGGUGGCCGAGCGGCUGAAGGCGGCGGUUUGCUAAACCGUUAUACGAUCGAAAAGUCGUAUCGAGGGUUCGAAUCCCUCUCCUUCCG
This 91-nucleotide transfer RNA is filed under the name Rickettsiales bacterium. RNAcentral's name for it is "tRNA-Ser". It matches the Rfam family "tRNA". Rfam says of the family: Transfer RNA (tRNA) molecules are approximately 80 nucleotides in length. Their secondary structure includes four short double-helical elements and three loops (D, anti-codon, and T loops). Further hydrogen bonds mediate the characteristic L-shaped molecular structure. tRNAs have two regions of fundamental functional importance: the anti-codon, which is responsible for specific mRNA codon recognition, and the 3' end, to which the tRNAs corresponding amino acid is attached (by aminoacyl-tRNA synthetases). tRNAs cope with the degeneracy of the genetic code in two manners: having more than one tRNA (with a specific anti-codon) for a particular amino acid; and 'wobble' base-pairing, i.e. permitting non-standard base-pairing at the 3rd anti-codon position. The record is from RNAcentral. Lineage: Bacteria; Pseudomonadati; Pseudomonadota; Alphaproteobacteria; Rickettsiales.